Molecule: ribosomal RNA, 481 nt
Filed under: uncultured bacterium
Lineage: Bacteria
Description: partial 16S ribosomal RNA
Rfam family: Bacterial small subunit ribosomal RNA
Source: RNAcentral
GAUGAACGCUGGCGGCGUGCUUAACACAUGCAAGUCGAACGAAGCACUUUAUUUGAUUUCCUUCGGGACUGAUUAUUUUGUGACUGAGUGGCGGACGGGUGAGUAACGCGUGGGUAACCUGCCUUGUACAGGGGGAUAACAGUUGGAAACGGCUGCUAAUACCCCAUAAGCGCACGGCAUCGCAUGAUGCAGUGUGAAAAACUCCGGUGGUAUAAGAUGGACCCGCGUUGGAUUAGCUAGUUGGUGAGGUAACGGCCCACCAAGGCGACGAUCCAUAGCCGACCUGAGAGGGUGACCGGCCACAUUGGGACUGAGACACGGCCCAAACUCCUACGGGAGGCAGCAGUGGGGAAUAUUGCACAAUGGGCGAAAGCCUGAUGCAGCGACGCCGCGUGAGCGAAGAAGUAUUUCGGUAUGUAAAGCUCUAUCAGCAGGGAAGAUAAUGACGGUACCUGACUAAGAAGCACCGGCUAAAUACGUG